CCUACGGGAGGCAGCAGUGGGGAAUAUUGCGCAAUGGGCGAAAGCCUGACGCAGCGACGCCGCGUGAGGGAUGAAGGUCUUCGGAUCGUUAACCUCUGUCAGCAGGGAAGAACGGUCACUGUGCUAAUCAGCAGUGAAUUGACGGUACCUGCAAAGGAAGCACAGGCUAACUCCGUGACAGCAGCCGCGGUAAUACGGAGGGUGCGAGCGUUAAUCGGAUUUACUGGGCGUAAAGCGCUCGUAGGCGGUAUGUCAAGUCAAGGGUGAAAUCCCCGCGCUCAACGUGGGAACUGCCUUUGAAACUGGCAAACUGGAGUGUGUGAGAGGAUAGGGGAAUGCCAGGUGUAGGAGUGAAAUCCGUAGAUAUCUGGAGGAACAUCAGUGGCGAAGGCGACUAUCUGGCACAUAACUGACGCUGAGGAGCGAAAGCGUGGGUAGCAAACAGGAUUAGAUACCCUGGUAGUC
Molecule: ribosomal RNA, 465 nt
Filed under: uncultured bacterium
Lineage: Bacteria
Description: partial 16S ribosomal RNA
Rfam family: Bacterial small subunit ribosomal RNA
Source: RNAcentral